RNAcentral lists this small RNA (2822 nucleotides) under Pongo abelii (Sumatran orangutan). Its description in RNAcentral is "retained intron". Lineage: Eukaryota; Metazoa; Chordata; Mammalia; Primates; Hominidae. The record is from RNAcentral.
GCCUUGAGGACUAGCCUGGCUGCCCUGGAGCAGAUCCAAACAGCAAAGACCCAAGAACUGAAUAUGCUCCGGGAACAGACCACUGGGCUGGCAGCUGAGUUGCAGCAGCGGCAGGCUGAGUACGAGGACCUUAUGGGACAGAAAGAUGACCUCAACUCCCAGCUCCAGGAGUCAUUACGGGCCAAUAGUCGGCUGCUGGAACAACUUCAAGAAAUAGGGCAGGAGAAGGAGCAGUUGACCCAGGAAUUACAGGAGGCUCGGAAGAGUGCUGAGAAGCGGAAGGCCAUGCUGGAUGAGCUAGCAAUGGAAACGCUGCAAGAGAAGUCCCAGCACAAGGAAGAGCUGGGAGCAGUUCGUCUACGGCAUGAGAAGGAGGUGCUGGGGGUGCGUGCCCGCUAUGAGCGUGAGCUCCGAGAGCUGCAUGAAGACAAGAAGCGUCAGGAGGAGGAGCUCCGUGGGCAGAUCCGGGAGGAGAAGGCCCGGACACGGGAGCUGGAGACUCUUCAGCAGACAGUGGAAGAACUUCAAGCUCAGGUACACUCCAUGGAUGGAGCCAAGGGCUGGUUUGAACGGCGCUUGAAGGAAGCCGAGGAAUCCCUGCAGCAGCAGCAGCAGGAACAAGAGGAAGCCCUCAAGCAGUGUCGGGAGCAGCACGCUGCCGAGCUGAAGGGCAAGGAAGAGGAGCUACAGGAUGUGCGGGAUCAGCUCCAGCAGGCCCAGGAGGAGCGGGACUGCCACCUGAAGACCAUUAGCAGCCUGAAGCAGGAGGUGAAGGACACAGUGGAUGGGCAGAGGAUCCUGGAGAAGAAGGGCAGUGCUGCGCUCAAGGACCUCAAGCGGCAACUGCAUUUGGAGCGGAAACGAGCAGAUAAGCUGCAGGAGCGGCUGCAGGACAUCCUCACUAACAGCAAGAGCCGCUCAGGCCUUGAGGAGCUGGUUCUCUCAGAGAUGAACUCACCAAGCCGGACCCAGACAGGAGACAGCAGUAGCAUCUCCUCCUUCAGCUACCGGGAGAUCUUGCGGGAAAAGGAGAGCUCGGCUGUUCCAGCCAGGUCCUUAUCCAGCAGCCCUCAAGCCCAGCCCCCUCGGCCAGCAGAGCUGUCAGAUGAGGAAGUGGCUGAGCUCUUUCAGCGGCUGGCAGAGACACAGCAGGAGAAAUGGAUGCUGGAGGAGAAGGUGCUGCCUGCCUGCUCUGCCUGCCCUGCCUGCCCAUCCCCACUUGAAGUGCCCUUGGGGGUGUGGGGUCUGCCCGGGCCUGCCUCAUGUGUGAACAUGUACAGUAGAGGGGUCUCAGGUGGGCUGGGCCAUCUUGCAGGUGAAGCACCUGGAGGUGAGCAGUGCUUCCAUGGCAGAGGACCUCUGCCGGAAGAGCGCCAUCAUUGAGACCUACGUCAUGGACAGCCGGAUCGGUCAGUGUCCCCUCCCCAGCCCUCAGCCCUGGUCCAGCCUUCACCUGGCUCUCCCUCUCCAUUCUGUGCUGCGGCUUCUCUCCUCUCCUCUCGGAACUCAGCAAAGCUACUGACAAGACCAUGGCCUCUGGAGGGGAGAACAGGAAAUCUCUUGAUCUCGCCUCCUCCCUCUUCUCUCUUUCUCUGUCAUCUCUCCACUCUCCAUUGUGUCUCUCUGUCCACUUUCUCCUUUCCUCUCCCUGUGCCUCAUCUUCCUCUCCUCUCUCUCUCCCUUCUCUCUUCUCCGUUUCUCUUUUUCACCCCACUCCUUCAUCUUGUCUUGCUGUCUAUAUAGUUUUCCUCCUCUGUAUCUUCAUUGCUUUUGUUUUCUUUCAAACCUUCUCCUUCACAGAUUUUUCUUUAUUAAUCAGAAUCAUACUGACCAACAUGUGCUGAGGACUUUCUGUGUGUUCUGUGCUUCACAUGCAGUCAUGUGCAUCUUUCCAGUUCCACAAGUUAGUUAUCCUCAUUUCUCGGGGCCAUAGAGCUAGUGAGUGACAGAGCUAGAUUUUGUAUGUCAAAGCCUCUGUCCUACAUGACAUGGCUUUUCCUGCUCCCUUCUCCCCUGGUAUUCGUCUCCCUCUUUUCUCCUCUGGCUCUGCCUGGCUCUCCUCUGGCUCUGCCGAGGGGGUGGUUUUCAGCCUGGGCCCUUGCAGAUGUGUCUGUGGCAGCAGGCCACACAGACCGCAGCGGGCUGGGCAGCGUCCUGAGAGACCUAGUGAAGCCAGGCGACGAGAACCUUCGGGAGAUGAACAAGAAGCUGCAGAACAUGCUGGAGGAGCAGCUCACCAAGAAUAUGCACUUGCACAAGGAUAUGGAAGUUCUGUCCCAGGAAAUUGUGCGGCUCAGCAAGGAGUGCGUGGGGCCUCCUGACCCAGACCUAGAGCCAGGAGAAACCAGCUAAAGACCUGCAGGCUGCACCCACGUCCUCCCCUUCCUACCCCCUAGGAUGCCAUUCCCUUGGGCUGUGGUGGAAAAAUGAGGGCUGGAGCCAAAAUCAAAUAGCUUGGGAGACUGGACAUUAAAGGGGCUAGAGGCCUGAUGGUUAGUGUUAAUGAUCCUGUCUUAGGGCAGAGGCCACCAGGGAGAGGGGAUCCGGAGGGAAGGGGCAGGGAUUUCUCCUUCUUCUUGGUCCUGGCUCCCAAGGGCUUCUGUCUUCAUCUCUGCAUGAGCUCUCCUUCCCAGAGACCAACUCUUUUUUAUUUUAUUUUAUUUUAUUUUUUAAUUUAUGUCUGGAGCCUGGCUACUCUGCAUUUGGGAUUGGGGAUGUUGGGUGGGUGUGUGGUCCAUGUUCAGCGUUCUAGCAACACGUGUGUGUGUGUGUAAAGGCUGUGCAGCCAAAAUACCAUCUGGCCAGACGGGCCCACCCACUGA